UAUUCUCAACCCUUCAGUGUUUUUUAUUAAGCACGGUUGGGCUUGGACUUGGAGGCUUUUGCUGGUGUUUAGAUUAAUUUAUUAGUCUUGGACGUCGGCUCCUCUGAAAUGCAUUAGCUUGAAUGAAACCAAGCAUGAUUCAGCGUGAUAAUUGUCUAGCUGCUUCGUCUCGGUGAAUAAUAUUCUAGCUUCAAACCGUCCCUUGGGACAACUUCUGAAA
This 220-nucleotide unclassified non-coding RNA is filed under the name Junghuhnia lacera. RNAcentral describes it as "partial internal transcribed spacer 2". The record is from RNAcentral. Lineage: Eukaryota; Fungi; Basidiomycota; Agaricomycetes; Polyporales; Steccherinaceae.